UAAAUACUACCUCCUUUUCUUGUUUGAUAGUUUUCCCAACUAUCAAGAAGCUACAUCUGCUAACCGGUUUCAAUUUUUAUUUCAAAAACUUUUUCAAGUAGGAUUUUAGUGCAUAUUUUAUAUUUAUCAGCAUGUCGGGAUAAACUUCAAAAGUUUCAAGUAUAUAAGCAUUGAAAUAAAUAUAUUUUGCUAAUAUAUGUAUAUACACGUAUAGCAAGUUGUUAAGAAUAACAACACAAAAAUCACCAGCAUAUUACACAAAGUUGUCCAAUUUGGAAGUAGAAGACUUCCAAGAUCCACCUGAAAUAAAACUUUUGACUUUUCAAAACAAAAUACUCUUUCUCACCAAAACAAGGAAACUCUUCCAGAUCUAGAAUAACGCAGAAAAUGACAGGUAAGAUAUCCGCUAAAAGUCGAGAUAGGAAACGGAUUUUUUGGUAACCUUAGGGAGAUAAAAGGGAACGAUGGAAAUAUGUUUGGCUACAGCAGAAGGAACCUUUCAAACUCAGGAGAGGUGGUCAA
Molecule: long non-coding RNA, 522 nt
Filed under: Olea europaea (common olive)
Lineage: Eukaryota; Viridiplantae; Streptophyta; Magnoliopsida; Lamiales; Oleaceae
Description: long non-coding RNA (OEUR_LNC011797)
Source: RNAcentral